RNAcentral lists this microRNA precursor (103 nucleotides) under Marmota monax (woodchuck). Lineage: Eukaryota; Metazoa; Chordata; Mammalia; Rodentia; Sciuridae. The record is from RNAcentral.
AGUGGAAUAGCUGGGUUAAAUGGUGGUUUCAUUCCAGGUUUUCUGAGGUAGCUCCAUACUGCUUUCCAGAUUGGUUGUACCAAUUUGCCGUCCCACCAGCAAU